GUGAAUCAUCGAAUUUUUGAACGCAAAUUGCACUCCCUGGUAUUCCGGAGAGUAUGCCUGUUUGAGGGUCGUUGUAAUAAAAAUCGACUCAUCUCACUUUGUUUUGAGGGUGAUCGCGUCGGAAUUGAUCCGUCUUUCAAAUGUUAAUUCAUGACAAGGGGGCUUAAAAUUCAUCCAUCCGAUACGAUGAAAGCGUAUUUAAGAGCAAUUUUGAUUGAGAGCGCGCGAUGACUUACCAUCGCAUGUAGUACGUUUGACCUGGGGCAUCAGGUUCAGUCGUAUAC
Molecule: unclassified non-coding RNA, 284 nt
Filed under: Glomeraceae sp.
Lineage: Eukaryota; Fungi; Glomeromycota; Glomeromycetes; Glomerales; Glomeraceae
Description: partial contains 5.8S ribosomal RNA and internal transcribed spacer 2
Rfam family: 5.8S ribosomal RNA (bases 1-71)
Source: RNAcentral